This 1195-nucleotide long non-coding RNA is filed under the name Sparus aurata (gilthead seabream). RNAcentral's name for it is "lncRNA (ENSSAUG00010016074.1)". The record is from RNAcentral. Lineage: Eukaryota; Metazoa; Chordata; Actinopteri; Spariformes; Sparidae.
UGAAGCUAAAAAAAGGUGGCAGGGUCUGCCACAUAUUAACAAAGUCAAACAGUGUGAAUCUGUGUCAUCCUCUAAUCCUUUAAGUCAGUUUGUUUAUCCAGUUUGUUCAGUUGGGGAAACAAAGAGAAGUUUGUUUAUUGAGUUUGUUCAGCAUAAUAUAAAUCAGUUACAUUCCAUCACUGCUGCUCAUCAAACGAGUUAUACAAGAAAAUGUGCGUUGAGAAGAACUGCCAGCCCCUUCAGUGAACCGCUGAUUUUUUCAGAAAAAAGCUUCCUGGAGAACACACCUUCCAGGCAGGUAGUGGGUCAGGUGAAUUCCCCCAAAGCCCCGCCCCCUCCCUCAGGAUGCUGCAGACCCCGCCCUCCGCUGUGCAUCAGCGCUGACAUGAGCUGAUUUAAAUCUCCACAGGGAUCAAAUUCACACAGAGCAGCAGAGACAGCUGAACAGAGAGCAUCAACAUCUCACACCUACAGCUCAGGAAUGGAACGAGGAUUGAUCCUGCUGGUUUCUGCGUUGAUGGCCUUUAUGGCCGCGGGUGUCCAAGGAACGUUUCAUCUGUCAUUUGCCAGUAACACAGAGGUGAACAUCACUCGGGAUGGUUGCGGCGUCUCUAAACUGUGCGUGGAGACACCAAAUGACUGUGACCCUGCUGCGAACGGCACCUGUCUGUUCGCGUCUUUGACCGCCUCCACCCCAGUGGCCCCCAACGGCACCGUCCUGUCCGUCGAACUCAGGGGAGAGUCCAUGGGAUACAUCGCACUGGGACUGACUCAGAAUGCUUCAGAGGGCACCACCGCGCUUUUCAUCUGUGCUCAGAACAGCAUGAACAAUGGGUCGUUCUUCUUCCGGACAAUGACCAGAAACAACACUGACGGGACGCUCUCUCCAGUAGAGACGAUCGUGAGAGAAAUUCGUGGCAUGGUGGAUGGCAAUGUCAUCAAGUGCGAGUAUGACAUCCCAAACGUGAACGCCACCAGCACCAGAGACAGUCACAUUACAACCUUCCAAGUCCUCCUCGGGAAUGGAACUACUAAUGGAAAUAAUCUUGGUAGCUUCACCACUGUCCUGGACAGCGGUACCCUGAACGUUGCCGACCCGACCAGCAACGCCACAGCAAUGAGCGGAGCUGACCACCCUCAUGCUGUGCUGCUCCUGCUGAGUGUCCUCACAGUGCCCCUCAUGCUCAGAGCCUAG